AACGAACGCUGGCGGCAGGCCUAACACAUGCCAGUCGAGCGGACCCUUCGGGGUUAGCGGCGGACGGGUGAGUAACGCGUGGGAAUAUGCCCUUCUCUACGGAAUAGUCCUGGGAAACUGGGGGUAAUACCGUAUACGCCCUUUGGGGGAAAGAUUUAUCGGGGAAGGAUUAGCCCGCGUUGGAUUAGGUAGUUGGUGGGGUAAUGGCCUACCAAGCCGACGAUCCAUAGCUGGUUUGAGAGGAUGAUCAGCCACACUGGGACUGAGACACGGCCCAGACUCCUACGGGAGGCAGCAGUGGGGAAUCUUAGACAAUGGGGGCAACCCUGAUCGAGCCAGGCCGCGUGAGUGAUGAAGGCCUUAGGGUUGUAAAGCUCUUUCAGCUGGGAAGAUAAUGACGGUACCAGCAGAAGAAGCCCCGGCUAACUCCGUG
RNAcentral lists this ribosomal RNA (433 nucleotides) under uncultured bacterium. RNAcentral's name for it is "partial 16S ribosomal RNA". It matches the Rfam family "Bacterial small subunit ribosomal RNA", at positions 29 to 507 of the family's 1533-position model. The record is from RNAcentral.